UGGGGAAUUUUGGGCAAUGGGCGAAAGCCUGAUCCAGCAAUGCCGCGUGUGUGAAGAAGGCCUUCGGGUUGUAAAGCACUUUUGUCCGGAAAGAAAUCCUUGGCUCUAAUACAGUCGGGGGAUGACGGUACCGGAAGAAUAAGCACCGGCUAACUACGUGCCAGCAGCCGCGGUAAUACGUAGGGUGCAAGCGUUAAUCGGAAUUACUGGGCGUAAAGCGUGCGCAGGCGGUUUGCUAAGACCGAUGUGAAAUCCCCGGGCUCAACCUGGGAACUGCAUUGGUGACUGGCAGGCUAGAGUAUGGCAGAGGGGGGUAGAAUUCCACGUGUAGCAGUGAAAUGCGUAGAGAUGUGGAGGAAUACCGAUGGCGAAGGCAGCCCCCUGGGCCAAUACUGACGCUCAUGCACGAAAGCGUGGGGAGCAAACAGGAUUAGAUACCCUGGUAGUCCACGCCCUAAACGAUGUCAACUAGUUGUUGGGGAUUCAUUUCCUUAGUAACGUAGCUAACGCGUGAAGUUGACCGCCCGGGGAGUACGGUCGCAAGAUUAAAACUCAAAGGAAUUGACGGGGU
RNAcentral lists this ribosomal RNA (571 nucleotides) under uncultured bacterium. Its description in RNAcentral is "partial 16S ribosomal RNA". It matches the Rfam family "Bacterial small subunit ribosomal RNA", at positions 355 to 919 of the family's 1533-position model. The record is from RNAcentral.